This 949-nucleotide ribosomal RNA is filed under the name Arthrobacter sp. RNAcentral describes it as "bacterial SSU rRNA". It matches the Rfam family "Bacterial small subunit ribosomal RNA", at positions 554 to 1498 of the family's 1533-position model. Lineage: Bacteria; Bacillati; Actinomycetota; Actinomycetes; Micrococcales; Micrococcaceae. The record is from RNAcentral.
UUGGGCGUAAGAGCUCGUAGGCGGUUUGUCGCGUCUGCUGUGAAAGACCGGGGCUCAACUCCGGUUCUGCAGUGGGUACGGGCAGACUAGAGUGCAGUAGGGGAGACUGGAAUUCCUGGUGUAGCGGUGAAAUGCGCAGAUAUCAGGAGGAACACCGAUGGCGAAGGCAGGUCUCUGGGCUGUAACUGACGCUGAGGAGCGAAAGCAUGGGGAGCGAACAGGAUUAGAUACCCUGGUAGUCCAUGCCGUAAACGUUGGGCACUAGGUGUGGGGGACAUUCCACGUUUUCCGCGCCGUAGCUAACGCAUUAAGUGCCCCGCCUGGGGAGUACGGCCGCAAGGCUAAAACUCAAAGGAAUUGACGGGGGCCCGCACAAGCGGCGGAGCAUGCGGAUUAAUUCGAUGCAACGCGAAGAACCUUACCAAGGCUUGACAUGAACCGGAAAGACCUGGAAACAGGUGCCCCGCUUGCGGUCGGUUUACAGGUGGUGCAUGGUUGUCGUCAGCUCGUGUCGUGAGAUGUUGGGUUAAGUCCCGCAACGAGCGCAACCCUCGUUCUAUGUUGCCAGCGCGUUAUGGCGGGGACUCAUAGGAGACUGCCGGGGUCAACUCGGAGGAAGGUGGGGACGACGUCAAAUCAUCAUGCCCCUUAUGUCUUGGGCUUCACGCAUGCUACAAUGGCCGGUACAAAGGGUUGCGAUACUGUGAGGUGGAGCUAAUCCCAAAAAGCCGGUCUCAGUUCGGAUUGGGGUCUGCAACUCGACCCCAUGAAGUCGGAGUCGCUAGUAAUCGCAGAUCAGCAACGCUGCGGUGAAUACGUUCCCGGGCCUUGUACACACCGCCCGUCAAGUCACGAAAGUUGGUAACACCCGAAGCCGGUGGCCUAACCCUUGUGGGGGGGAGCCGUCGAAAGGUGGGACCGGCGAUUGGGACGAAGUCGUAACAGGGUA